This is a long non-coding RNA of Ostrinia nubilalis (European corn borer), 655 nucleotides long. RefSeq lists it as uncharacterized. The record is from RefSeq and is a predicted model, not a curated record. NCBI's taxonomy places the organism in Eukaryota, Metazoa, Arthropoda, Insecta, Lepidoptera, Crambidae. The transcript is spliced from 3 exons.
CAGACCAGAGCAAAUUUUCACGCAAUCAUACAAUACAAAAUAAUAAAAGUCCCAAGAGACCACUAAACUUUCACUUUCUCCGGUGAAUUUAAUGUUCAUUAGUCCGUGAAAUUGGAGAUCUGCGUUAUGAUGAUUGAAUGCAAAAAAGAAGGGUCUAAGAAUCUAUUUAAAAUCGAGCAACCUAUAAUUACAUUUAGUUUCACUAAGUAUUUCAAGCGAUUUGACUAGAUUAAGAAGUGUUUUACCGCCAUGUUUACCAUGUGGAGGCUUGUGCUUCUGAUGUCGUUGGUGGUGCUCGUGUCUGCGAGGCCCCAGGAGUUUGACGAUGAAGAGGACAGCCACGAUCCCGCUGCGGAUAAGAAAGACGACGUGGCGCGUGUGCAAAUAAAAGUCUACAGGGGCCCGACAAAGCAUGACGGCUACGCCCCAUGGGGAUUCUGGGUCAAACAGCCUUCUGACGAACAAUAAAAGGCUGGCCUUAAUAAUAUAAGUUACAUUAGUUCCUAUAAAUAAUACUAACAUUAGCUUAUUAUGUGUAUUUUUUAAGUUUAUGAUCUAAAUUUAUAAACGUUUGUUAUUUUUAACGUUGGUUUGUUAAAAUAAGCUAAGUAAAGGUUGUUAUUAUUUUUGUAUUAAAACCAAAGAUUAAGUUACA